GAUGAAAACCAUCUGACAGCCGGUUGGCCCGCCCACACCCCCUCUGCCCGGCCCCACCUGCUGUCUCCAUACUGAGACCACUCUCCGCCGCCGACAGAGGAUUUUAGGAGGCGUAAGCUGGAAGCUCUAAGCUCCACAUCCAGCCGCUGCCCCGCGCACAACCCAGCGACGUCUCUGCGCCUCGCAUCCAGCGACACGUCUCCGCCUCCGCUCCGGCUCCGGGGUUUGUUUCGGGCAGAAGAACAGAGGGGAUGCUCGCAGGGUCCUUGAACGCCACAAAGAAGUUCACGAGGCUGACAGGAAGAGGACUCUCCUGUUGAUUCAGCUCCUCUGCUCACCCCGGAAUAUUUCAGGAAAACACUUCUACACCUCUAUAUGGCAAAGUUCCUGGCUGAAUUACUGGGAUGCACACUUCCAGACAAGGGCACUCCACCUUUGUUCGAGUGUCGGAGCCAACCCCAUCUGAGGCCUUCCUCCAAACAGCGGCCAGCUAUUUUUGGGACAUUAACCAAUGAGAGAGCACGGUUUGACAACAGACUGG
Long non-coding RNA from Lates calcarifer (barramundi perch), 541 nucleotides. RefSeq lists it as uncharacterized. The transcript is spliced from 3 exons. The record is from RefSeq and is a predicted model, not a curated record. NCBI's taxonomy places the organism in Eukaryota, Metazoa, Chordata, Actinopteri, Centropomidae.